GGGGAAUCUUGGACAAUGGGGGCAACCCUGAUCCAGCCAUGCCGCGUGAGUGAUGAAGGCCUUAGGGUCGUAAAGCUCUUUCGCCUGUGAAGAUAAUGACGGUAGCAGGUAAAGAAACCCCGGCUAACUCCGUGCCAGCAGCCGCGGUAAUACGGAGGGGGUUAGCGUUGUUCGGAAUUACUGGGCGUAAAGCGCACGUAGGCGGACCAGAAAGUUGGGGGUGAAAUCCCGGGGCUCAACCCCGGAACUGCCUCCAAAACUCCUGGUCUAGAGUUCGAGAGAGGUGAGUGGAAUUCCGAGUGUAGAGGUGAAAUUCGUAGAUAUUCGGAGGAACACCAGUGGCGAAGGCGGCUCACUGGCUCGAUACUGACGCUGAGGUGCGAAAGUGUGGGGAGCAAACAGG
RNAcentral lists this ribosomal RNA (403 nucleotides) under uncultured bacterium. RNAcentral describes it as "bacterial SSU rRNA". It matches the Rfam family "Bacterial small subunit ribosomal RNA", at positions 356 to 776 of the family's 1533-position model. The record is from RNAcentral.